This is a long non-coding RNA of Mytilus californianus (California mussel), 613 nucleotides long. RefSeq lists it as uncharacterized. The record is from RefSeq and is a predicted model, not a curated record. The transcript has 3 exons. Lineage: Eukaryota; Metazoa; Mollusca; Bivalvia; Mytilida; Mytilidae.
ACAUGGACAAGACACAUCCUGUGAUUAUAAGCUUCCUGAACAAGUAUUUAACAAACUGUAUUUUACUUUUUAAUUUGAAAAGAAUGGUGUACUUGAACAUCUUGCUUAUUCUUGCAUUUGUACUAUGUGGAGGACUGGCGGAUGAUGCGAGACAGUGUAAACAGUGCGCUGGUAUAAUACAUACAACACCGAUGAAUUCAACAGACAAAGUACCAUCAUGUUCUUCUGCGCAACCGACACCGUGUAAUGGUACAGCCUUUGGAUGCGCAGAAUUCGAUGGGAAUGUUUCCAUUGGAAAUCAAAAUGGGACAACAAAUGUGACCAUAAAGUUUCAAUACUGUACAGCAAGUGGUCAAACAAUCUGCUUCAAUGUUACCAACACAAACGUUCAUAACGAGACAUCGGGUCUUCUGAAGGCAUUUUCGGCAGCAGGACUAGGUUUUGGAUCAGGACAACUUCAAGAUAUAGACGGCCGAAUCUGUAUGCAUGGGUUUUCACCAGUUGUAAGCGGACAGAAUAAACUGUUCCCAAGUGUUGUCAUUCUUGUUUUGGCAUUGAUUUGUCAAUAGGGAAUCAUCUUUGACAAAAUCUCUAAUAAAACAAUAUAAACAUA